GUUUUUCUACUGUUGGGAUUCAGUUCCGCCGACAGAAAAUGCGGAGAACGCGGAGGAAGUCCCUGAGGGGAAAUUGCUGCUCACCUGGCUCCCGCUGCUCCGCAGGUGCGGUGAAGGCUAAUGUCGAAUUUCUGCAGCAAUCGGAGCAGCCCUUACUCCAGUUACAUUAACACCAAUCUCGGUCUCCCACUAGGGCUUUAUAAAUUGCUUUCAUAAACGUCUUUUUAAUGUAACACUGAAUAAAAUGUUUUAUAAGCGUCUUUUAUAAGGAUCGUAAGUGAAAGGGCGCUGUCUCCGAUUUGCAGGUGAGCAGACAGCUUCGGAGUGAGAACGGCUCCCCGCGGGUCCCCGGUGGCGCGCGGCUCCCGGAGGCAAAACAAAGCUGGGGCCGGGGCGUCGGAGCCUCCGCGUUGUAGUUGGGAGAGGUUCGAACGGGGCCCCAGCUGGCGAAAGGGAAAACGGACCCGGACCCGGACCCGUGGAGCCUGCUCGAAAGCCGGGUGCUGGGGGUCUGGGCCCCGUGUCCCCCCUCUUUUUCUUCUUCAAUAAGAAAUUCCUCAAGGGCAGACUGCGAGUCCACAGUCGUGAAGCCACCUAAUCUGGCUUCAUACCUGGAAUGUUUGGAUUCCUGGUACGAAGAAAAACUAACAUUUAUUGGCUACUUGUCCACUGGAAGGCGUUGUCUUAUUUCUCAUUAACUCCUUGAGUCAGCAUUACGUCUUUUAUUACAGAUGACACAACUACUAAAGCUUUAAAUAGUUCUUUGGGAGCAAAGACGAAAUCUCCAUUUCCUUUUUAGCUGCUGGUAGCUCGACGCUCACUGUUAAAAUAGGGAGGUAAUGAAACAACUCUUGUGUGAGACCGAAAGUCCAGGUGUGCAUCUUGGCCAUUUCCAAGUUAAUCAAGAAGAAUUAAGGAUUCAUUUUAUUCUAUCAAAAUUAUUUCUCAAUGCCAAGAUAUUUUGUGUGACGUAGAUUCGGGGACAGACUGAGUAGCACAAUACCUGGGAAAAGUUAGGUGCUCAGCAAUUAUAAUUGCCCACAUUUGUGAUUGCUUUUGCCUAUGUGCCAGACACUGUUCUACGCACUGAACAUAUCUCAAGUUAUUCAAUCUUCAGGACAACCUUAUGAGCCAAUUAUUAUUAUUACCCAUUUUACAGAUGAGGGAACUGAAACAAAUUUGCCCAAGGUCGCACAACUAGUAGCAGAAUCAAGAAUAAAAAAGCCAAAAAACCCCAAACCCAGGCAAACUUUAAAUGUUCCUUGCAUUGCUAGACUGAAGUAGUGAGAGAAACAGUAAACAGUACGAGUCCAUGAAAACAUUAAAAGGAUGUGAAGUAUGUACAAGUAACUGAAACAUUUAAUGCCCAAACUAAAGACUUAAAAUUUGCUAAGGUAAUAGCACAGGUAGAUUCACACCAAGUAAUCACUGGUAACUGAAGCUACCGGCCAGCAUCCAUUUGCAGUCCGUCUUUGAAGGCAGCUGUGUCCAGAGCAGGUGGUUUAGGAAGCUUUCUAGACUUCCAUUGUCAGAUGUCUCCACGCCUAGAAGAUGGUGCUUUAGUGUUCCUGGGAGGAGACAUGCAGAGAUGGGGUGGCAAUUACAGACAUGCCCACAGAUGGAGAGAAGCCAUUUUUUUCAUCUUUUCCCUUGAACUCUUCUUUGACCUCCAGCCGAAAUGGAGCUUGGCAGCUUUUGUGGGGUUUUUUGUUUUUUUGUUUUGUUUUGUUUUGUUUUGUUUUUGGAGAUGGAGUCUCUCUGUGUCGCCCAGGCUGGAGUGCAGUGGCGCGAUCUCGGCUCACUGCAACCUCCACCUCGCGGGUUCAAGCGAUUCUCCUGCCUCAGCCUCCCGAGU
Molecule: long non-coding RNA, 1855 nt
Filed under: Homo sapiens (human)
Lineage: Eukaryota; Metazoa; Chordata; Mammalia; Primates; Hominidae
Description: non-protein coding lnc-GTF3A-4:2
Source: RNAcentral